AUUGAACGCUGGCGGCAUGCCUUACACAUGCAAGUCGAACGGCAGCACGGGAGCAAUCCUGGUGGCGAGUGGCGAACGGGUGAGUAAUAUAUCGGAACGUGCCCAGUCUGGGGGAUAACGUAGCGAAAGCUACGCUAAUACCGCAUACGAUCUAUGGAUGAAANCGGGGGAUCGCAAGACCUCGCGCGAUUGGAGCGGGCCGAUAUCAGAUUAGGUAGUUGGUGAGGUAAAGGCUCGCCAAGCCGACGAUCUGUAGCUGGUCUGAGAGGACGACCAGCCACACUGGGACUGAGACACGGCCCAGACUCCUACGGGAGGCAGCAGUGGGGGAAUUUUGGACAAUGGGCGCAAGCCUGAUCCAGCAAUGCCGCGUGACAGGAUGAAGGCCUUGG
RNAcentral lists this ribosomal RNA (392 nucleotides) under uncultured bacterium. RNAcentral's name for it is "bacterial SSU rRNA". It matches the Rfam family "Bacterial small subunit ribosomal RNA", at positions 30 to 420 of the family's 1533-position model. The record is from RNAcentral.